CCUACGGGUGGCAGCAGUGAGGAAUAUUGGUCAAUGGGCGAGAGCCUGAACCAGCCAAGUCGCGUGAGGGAGUACUGCCCUAUGGGUUGUAAACCUCUUUUGUCGGGGAGCAAAAGCCGGACGUGUCCGGCUGUGAGAGUACCCGAAGAAAAAGCAUCGCCUAACUCCGUGCCAGCAGCCGCGGUAAUACGGAGGAUGCGAGCGUUAUCCGGAUUUAUUGGGUUUAAAGGGUGCGCAGGCGGAUUUUUAAGUCAGCGGUAAAAUCGUGGGGCUCAACCCCAUCCAGCCGUUGAAACUGGGGAUCUAGAGUGUGCGAGAGGUAUGCGGAAUGCGUGGUGUAGCGGUGAAAUGCAUAGAUAUCACGCAGAACCCCGAUUGCGAAGGCAGCAUACCGGUGCACAACUGACGCUCAGGCACGAAAGCGUGGGUAUCGAACAGGAUUAGAUACCCUUGUAGUC
This 458-nucleotide ribosomal RNA is filed under the name uncultured bacterium. Its description in RNAcentral is "partial 16S ribosomal RNA". It matches the Rfam family "Bacterial small subunit ribosomal RNA", at positions 338 to 795 of the family's 1533-position model. The record is from RNAcentral.